AGAAAGCUUCCACUUACGCAGUGCCCACUGCUCACAACCCCUCCGGCCCUCCCAGCCUUCGGCUGUUUCGCUUCCUCCACUCUCCCCAACGAAGCAUAAAGAUGUCAAAAUUCCAGUCUUGAGGAGCAAAAUGUCCAAGAAAGAAGCAUCCCUUGUCCAGUCAUAGGCUCAUAGCCCAUUUAUUUCCGCGGAAGACAAGGGAGCGAGGGGAUGAAGGGGCGCAAUGGUGGCAAGAUUAAGAUUGGUGUCUGCGUCAUGGAGAAGAAGGUGUCGUGUUCUCCCAUGGAGCAGAUUCUUGAGAGGCUGCGCGCGUUCGGGGAGUUCGAGAUUAUAAUUUUUGGUGACAAAGUCAUUCUUGAAGAUCCCAUUGAAAGUUGGCCUUUAUGUGAUUGUCUAAUCGCUUUUUACUCAGCUGGGUAUCCACUAGAAAAGGCAGAGAAAUACGCUGCUUUACGCAGGCCUUUUAUAGUCAAUGAAUUGGCCCCACAGUACCUCCUUCAUGACCGCAACAAAGUAUAUGAGCAACUUAAAUUGUUUGGAGUUCCUGUUCCAACCUAUGCGGUUGUCAGAAGAGAGUACCCUAAUCAAGAGCUAAACUACUUUGUUGAGCAAGACGAUUUUAUUGAGAUUCAUGGGAUACGGUUUUGCAAGCCUUUCGUGGAGAAACCCAUUGAUGAUGACUGGCGGCAGCUUGUUCACCCUCUCAACCCAGCAGGACUCGUUCCAGCAAAGAGGGAAGCUUUGAGUAGCUGUAUUAGAUGGAAAUUUAGGGUCCAAGGACCAGAGUGGAGGCAAAUUCGCCCUCCAGGAGAUGACCAUAAUAUAAUGAUAUACUAUCCUAGCUCAGCUGGAGGAGGAAUGAAAGAACUGUUCCGUAAGGUUGGCAAUAGAUCUAGUGAAUUUUAUCCAGAUGUGAGGAAGGUGAGGCGAGAUGGAUCCUAUAUUUAUGAGGAGUUCAUGCCUACAGGGGGAACAGAUGUCAAGGUUUAUACAGUUGGGCCAGGAUAUGCACAUGCUGAAGCGCGCAAGUCUCCAGUUGUGGAUGGGGUUGUCAUGAGAAAUUCUAAUGGAAAAGAGGUGCGCUAUCCUGUUCUAUUGACCCCUACGGAGAAACAAAUUGCAAGGAGCGUUUGCCAAGCCUUCAGACAAGCGGUGUGUGGCUUUGAUCUUCUAAGGUGUGACUUGGGGGAGGCAAGAUCCUAUGUAUGUGAUGUGAAUGGCUGGAGUUUCGUGAAAAGUUCAUACAAGUACUAUGAUGAUGCUGCAUGCAUUCUAAGGAAAAUGUUUCUUUAUGAGAAAGCUCCACAUAUUUCAUCUACCAUUCCUACUAGUCUUCCAUGGAAAAUCAGCGAGCCAGCCCAACCAUCAGUUGCUGUUAGAGGUCGUGAAAGGGGAACUGUUGGAAUAUCUAGACAAUCGGAAGAGUUGCGCUGUGUCAUAGCUGUUAUACGCCAUGGGGAUCGCACACCAAAGCAGAAGGUGAAACUGAAAGUAACUGAAGAAAAGCUUUUAAAAUUGAUGUUGAAAUACAAUGGUGGAAAGGCGCAUGCGGAGGCAAAGCUUAAAAGUGCCUUACAGCUGCAAGAUCUAUUAGAUGCAACAAGAAUCCUUGUUCCGUGUGCAAGAUCUGGUCGUGAAAGUGAUAGUGAUGCUGAAGUCGAGCAUGCAGAGAAACUCCGCCAAGUUAGAGCAGUUCUUGAAGAGGGUGGUCAUUUUUCAGGUAUUUACAGGAAGGUACAGCUGAAGCCAUCAAACUGGGUCCGUAUUCCUAAACAUAACGGAGAAGGGGAGGAGGAGCAUCCGGUUGAAGCCCUAAUGGUUCUUAAGUAUGGUGGUGUUCUAACUCAUGCAGGAAGGAAGCAGGCAGAAGAGUUGGGAAGAUACUUCAGAAAUCACAUGUAUCCAAGUGAAGGACCAGGAUUGCUUCGCCUCCACAGUACAUAUAGGCAUGAUCUGAAGAUAUACAGUUCAGAUGAAGGUCGAGUCCAGAUGUCUGCUGCGGCUUUUGCAAAAGGUCUUCUUGAUUUGGAGGGGGAGUUAACUCCAAUCCUGGUUUCACUUGUCAGUAAGGAUUCAUCUAUGCUAGAUGGACUUGAGGAUGGUACUUUUGAGAUAAAUAAAGCAAAGGCUCGGUUGCAUGACAUCAUCACAUCUUCAAAUGUUGCAAAUUGUAAUGAACAUGUGGAAUUCCCAUGGAUGGUUGAUGGAGUUGGAGUGCCAACAAAUGCUGCUCAGCUUCUCACAAAUUUGGCUGAGUUGAUAAAAGAAAUAACUGCCCAAGUAAAGUUGCUUUCCGAUGAUGAAGAUGAGAAGGCUGCAAUAAACAGUGAUUCACCAAAUCAUCCUUAUGAUGAAGCAAAGGCACUCGGGAAAGCAGAAAUUGAUAUGGGCCGUAUUUCUGCUGGAUUUCCUUGUGGCAGUGAAAGCUUUCUUUUGAUGUUUGCCCGUUGGAGGAAACUUGAGAGGGAUUUCUACAAUGAAAGAAAAAAGCGCUUUGAUACUACACAGAUUCCCGACAUAUAUGAUUCUUGCAAGUAUGACCUUCUUCAUAACCCACAUCUCAACCUUACUGGUAUAAGUGAUCUCUUCAAAGUUUCUCAGUUGCUAGCUGAUGGUGUCAUUCCAAAUGAAUAUGGAAUAAAUCCAAAGCAGAAACUCAAAAUUGGCUCAAAGAUAGCACACCGUUUAUUGGGAAAGAUUCUAAUUGACCUGCAUAACACGAGACGAGAAGUAACCUCAGCUACUGCUGAAUCUAACACAUAUCAUGAUCCAACAACAAUGUCAUCUGCAAAACGGAAGGAAAGGUGUUAUUAUGAGGAGGUUAGGAGUGAAUGUUUUGAAAGACCUAUCUCAAACAAGAAGUCAAUUGAUCUAGAUGAUUCCCACAAGGAAACAAAAUACUGCUUAGAUCCAAAAUAUGCCAAUGUGAUUGAACCUGAGCGACGUGUUCGAACAAGGCUCUACUUUACAUCGGAAUCACAUAUACACUCUCUAAUGAAUGUACUUCGAUAUUGCAACUUGGAUGAGACUCUGGAUGGAGAAGAGAGUCUUGUUUGUCAAAGUGCUCUAGAUCGGCUGUUUAGAACAAGGGAACUCGACUACAUGAGUUACAUUGUGUUGCGUAUGUUUGAAAAUACAGAGGUGUCUUUGGAAGACCCAAAGAGGUUCCGUGUAGAGAUGACAUUUAGUCGUGGUGCAGAUAUAAGCUCCUUAGAGAGUGAAGCCAAAGCAUCUUUGCUACCGGCUGACCACACAAUGCAAAUUAUGGAGCCAGAGAGAUUGCAGGAAGUCGGAUCAUAUAUGACCUUAGAAAAAUUUGAUAAAAUGACUCGUCCGUUUGCAAUGCCAGCUGAAGAUUUUCCACCAGCUACUCCUCCUCAAACUUUGUCAGUCCGUUUCUGCAAGGAUAUUGAAUUACAAGGAGGAAUAUUGUUUGAUUCUGUGUUGCAAUAUUGAUGUUGAUUAGAUGUGGAAGAAACCAAUCUGUGGGAAUAUUUGUAGGGCCUCCACAUUGCAUGGGACAUACAGAAAUUUAAUGCAGCAUAAGUCAGACAUGCUGAGUGGUAUGCCAAAAAGGAAGACCAAAAAGCUUCAAGAAUAGCAUAUGAAAGUUUGAGAGCACUCUGAAAUCCUGCACAUGGGUUGCUAGGGCUGCGCGAUCACGCCGCAGGAAGAAUAUCGACAAACAUAAGUGUGAAAGCUGGCGGAACAUUGCUAGGUUGAAAGUGUUGUAAGAGGUAGCUAUCCUAGUAUCGGGCGCGUAUGAUCGUUGUAACUAUCCCGGCCGUUGGUACGGCUUUGUAAACUGUUGGUUCUUUCCUUAAUUUUAAUGACAUGCAAUUCUCCUGCGUGUUCGAGAAAAAAAAAAAAAAAAGCUGGCGGAACAUGUUUUGCAGAUAGUUAUUUUGACGGACAGACUACAAAUGCUGGUUAGUUAUGUGACAAAUCAUUAUGUGGUACAUUGGCAGUGACAAUUCAAAGGAGAACUUCCAGAUUCUAUUGAUCUAUGGAACAGUAACUAUUUUUUGAA
This is an RNA transcript of Phragmites australis (common reed), 4030 nucleotides long. It is a transcript of the gene named inositol hexakisphosphate and diphosphoinositol-pentakisphosphate kinase VIP1-like, with no coding region annotated. The record is from RefSeq and is a predicted model, not a curated record. NCBI's taxonomy places the organism in Eukaryota, Viridiplantae, Streptophyta, Magnoliopsida, Poales, Poaceae. The transcript is spliced from 34 exons.